CCAGACUCCUACGGGAGGCAGCAGUGGGGAAUCUUCCGCAAUGGACGAAAGUCUGACGGAGCAACGCCGCGUGAGUGAUGACGGCCUUCGGGUUGUAAAGCUCUGUUAAUCGGGACGAAAGGCCUUCUUGCAAAUAGUGAGAAGGAUUGACGGUACCGGAAUAGAAAGCCACGGCUAACUACGUGCCAGCAGCCGCGGUAAUACGUAGGUGGCAAGCGUUGUCCGGAAUUAUUGGGCGUAAAGCGCGCGCAGGCGGAUAGGUCAGUCUGUCUUAAAAGUUCGGGGCUUAACCCCGUGAUGGGAUGGAAACUGCCAAUCUAGAGUAUCGGAGAGGAAAGUGGAAUUCCUAGUGUAGCGGUGAAAUGCGUAGAUAUUAGGAAGAACACCAGUGGCGAAGGCGACUUUCUGGACGAAAACUGACGCUGAGGCGCGAAAGCCAGGGGAGCGAACGGGAUUAGAUACCCCGGUAGUCCUGGCCGUAAACGAUGGGUACUAGGUGUAGGAGGUAUCGACCCCUUCUGUGCCGGAGUUAACGCAAUAAGUACCCCGCCUGGGGAGUACGACCGCAAGGUUGAAACUCAAAGGAAUUGACGGGGGCCCCGCACAAG
Molecule: ribosomal RNA, 608 nt
Filed under: uncultured bacterium
Lineage: Bacteria
Description: bacterial SSU rRNA
Rfam family: Bacterial small subunit ribosomal RNA
Source: RNAcentral